This is a long non-coding RNA of Phacochoerus africanus (Common warthog), 690 nucleotides long. RefSeq lists it as uncharacterized. The transcript has 2 exons. The record is from RefSeq and is a predicted model, not a curated record. Lineage: Eukaryota; Metazoa; Chordata; Mammalia; Artiodactyla; Suidae.
CAGUCCUACGGCUCCGGCUCGCGGUGCGGUUCGCGAGGGCGCCCUCUCCGCUUCUGCCUCCUCGUCUGCCAAGCGCGUCUGUUGCUCUCGCUGCUGCUGCUCCGGGAGCAACGAGCCGGGACUCAGCCUCCUGAAUGAGGACCGGGAGGAGCAGUGGGACAUAAAGCAUAGUGAGAAGGAGAAUAGUGGCUGGAUUCAGACAGCCUGAGUUUGAAGCCCUGCUUUGCCACUUAAUACCUAUAUGACCUCGGGUGUCAAGAGUUUACCUGAGCUACUCACGGUGUUGCUGCCUCAGCGUCCAUUUUAUUUGCAGGACUUUCGGGGACCCUAAACUGAUGUAAGCACAUGCCCCAGAUAGAGUCACAAGCAAAUCUAAGUUCCUGAUAUGACUUCCCCAGCAGCCCUUUGAUCUACAGUCUCCCUGGCUUCCAGUGCCUGUGUGCAAUAUUGCCCCCUUAGAGAAGACCCAGUGGGGCUUAUCCAAAUCCCUACUCUUUUGGUUUAAAUUGACCAGUCUGACCCUAGCCUGGGAACCCCAAAGUACUCCAUUCAGAGACCCUAAUAAAGGCAUGUCCCAGGUCCUGACACUCUCUGCCUGCACCCUACCUUGCCUUCCCCCUGUGGCCCCUUAAGGUGUCCUGGGUACUUUCUCCAGGACCUGUGAGUAAUAAACUACUCUAUUUCAAUUUC